RNAcentral lists this ribosomal RNA (482 nucleotides) under uncultured bacterium. Its description in RNAcentral is "partial 16S ribosomal RNA". It matches the Rfam family "Bacterial small subunit ribosomal RNA", at positions 30 to 507 of the family's 1533-position model. The record is from RNAcentral.
AUUGAACGCUGGCGGCAUGCCUUACACAUGCAAGUCGAACGGUAACGGGCCUUCGGGUGCCGACGAGUGGCGAACGGGGGUGUAAUACAUCGGAACGUGCCCGAUCGUGGGGGAUAACGAGGCGAAAGCUUUGCUAAUACCGCAUACGAUCUACGGAUGAAAGCAGGGGACCGCAAGGCCUUGCGCGGGCCGUGCGGCCGAUGGCAGAUUAGCCAGUUGGUGGGAUAAAAGCUUACCAAGCCGACGAUCUGUAGCUGGUCUGAGAGGAUGAUCAGCCACACUGGGACUGAGACACGGCCCAGACUCCUACGGGAGGCAGCAGUGGGGAAUUUUGGACAAUGGGCGCAAGCCUGAUACAGCCAUGCCGCGUGCAGGAUGAAGGCCUUCGGGUUGUAAACUGCUUUUGUACGGAACGAAAAGCCUUCUUUUAAUACAGGAGGGUCAUGACGGUACCGUAAGAAUAAGCACCGGCUAACUACGUG